Long non-coding RNA from Anneissia japonica, 5487 nucleotides. RefSeq lists it as uncharacterized. The record is from RefSeq and is a predicted model, not a curated record. The transcript is spliced from 5 exons. Lineage: Eukaryota; Metazoa; Echinodermata; Crinoidea; Comatulida; Comatulidae.
UCAAUAAUAAAUUUAUAUAAACACCUCGUUAAAAAAGUAAUGUUAGGUCCAUGGGUCCAUCUACGUACUUAAGUAGGGCUACAGCAGACUAAUGAAAGGGCUGAGUAAUGAGAGGUCCUAACUUGUGGAGAUAUUCAAACUCGUCAAAAUCAUCAUCAUCAUCAAGGAUUGAGCUCAUUCAUCACAAUAUUCGUGAUCACCAUUAUCAUACAACUUUACCGUGAUCAGCAUCAGAAACCAUUUUCUUCACGCAUCUCAUUCGGCGAAUUUAGUAAGAAGUUCUGCACGUCACAACAAAAAUCAAAUUGGAUUUGAACCUGGUCCCUGAGAUGUAGAGGCAAGGCACCUACCAGUUCUACCAGUACCGGUACCUUACAAACCAGUACCAAUCCUACCAGUACCAGUUCUUUCCCACCCAGUACCAGUCAUAUCAAUCUUUACCUACAGUCCAUCAGGUGAUGGAACAAACCAACGGACGUUACAUCAACACCUGCUUAUAGCGAGUCCACAAACAGUUGCCUUUCAUUAGAGAGGAUUGCAGAUAAGAUAACAAAUCUCUGUUUGUUAUCAUUCACUUGCUGAUCAAACAGUUGCAUAGAAUGACCAGCUAGAAACUUGAUACUUUGUGAUAGAAGUGAAGUCUGUGAUGCUCUACCCAAUAUGAGGUGUAGGGACUGACCCUCAUUUUUACAGGAACCCAGGAACUUGAGGAUGUGUAGGGAGAUACAUAUUUCACAUCCGAUCACCAUGGGUUGAUAUUCGGUAUCAAAUAGCAAAAUAUGAUUACAAAUAUUAAAGCGCUUUUAAGAGAAAAUCAGUUCUUUUAUCAAAAUAAUAUCAGAAUCUUUGAGUGGAUGCAUAUGGUGGACGGCAGUAAGGUGUCAGGUUUCUAGUUGAAUGAUCAUGGGUUCAAAUCAGGAUUGUAGAUCUUUUUUCUUCAUAAUCUUUUGAAGAAUAUUUUGUCCGAGCAAGAAUAUUCGAAAUUGAAGAGUGUCCCUUUUCGCUUAGCUGUAUGAAUGCCUGGUCAGAUGUGAAUGCUUAAUGAUUUUUUUUAUUUGUGCUAAAUAUCCAUGGAUGUAGGCUAGGGGUGGGAGCAGGGGGUGCACCCCCUUCCCUCCCCCUCAUGGCAACAAAUUAGUUCCACUAAGUGGGUUAAAAUACUAAAAAUUACCAUUAAGUUUUCAUUCGAAUAGGGAUCAUUUCCGCAUUUUCAAUUAUUCGCUCCCCCAAAGCCAAAGCAGCCCAAUAUCAUCCACAGCUUGGGAAGGCCCAUAAUCAAGAAUCUUUUUUUAUUAUUGUGAUAGACAUUCCCAAUGGGUGUAUAACACCCUAGUUUAGCCUGUUAGCUUUACCCUAGACUGGGUUUUAUUUCUUAGCAUUACAUAUUCCCCUGGUCCCUAUAUUUUGCGUAUUAUAUAGUAUUCCAAUAAUUCAUUUUUGUUGAUAAGUAUUCUGUUUUAAUUUUAUAAGCAAAUUAAACAAACUUUUACUACUUUUUGUGUAAAGUUGGUAUUUGUUUAUCGAUUUAAAGAAGAGUAUAAUUCAGUUUAGGAAUAAAAACAUUUCUGAAUAGAAUGUACAAUUUGGUAAAAUGAACUUCAUCUUCAAUUGAACUUAAAUUGCUGAGUUUAUUACUAGUAUGUGCACUAAAGAAUAUUAUACAUAAACAACUUAGGGGUGAAGUCUUCCCUUCCCAAUUUCUAUGGAAAAAGGCUUUUCUAUGGAUCAGGGGAGAUGCCCGGGAACCAAAGCUGGCAUGUGAAUCUGUAUCAUCAUUUAAAUAAUUUGGAAUUUGGUUUUGUUCUUCAGUAGGGGUGUCAGGUAUACCAUAUUCAUUUUUUAUUAUACGAAAUACAUGAUACUAUCUGAGAAAAAACACCAAUCACAGUUUGCUGGCUUUAAACUUAUACUAACAAAUUGGCUGCCAAUAACACUGUGUCCUUCAGAAAUAUUGCCUCUUUGUCACUCUUCAAUUUCCAAUAUUUGCUCAUAGAAAAUAGUCUUCAAAAGAUUAUGACCUGAGGAAUAAAGAUCUACAAUCCUGAAAUAACUAACAGUUGUUUUAUUAUAUUUAAUUUAUUCCUGUUAGUCAAUUUAAUGAUUGUAUUAUACAAUCGCAAUUGUUAUAGAUUUGAAGCCAUCUGUUGAUACAGUCCAUUUGUGGUAACCUAUAUUAAAUGAUAAUAAAGUACGAUGAAAUAGUUCACCUUGAAUUCUGCCUCUUCUAUUGCAUGCAAAUCCAGCUCACCCACCUCUUUAUUUACAAUAACUUUAACGAUUGUAGAAAUUUUAUUUCAUUUAGUACAAACAUUUGUUGUGGUUGUUUAUUAGUUUGAAAUGAUUUUUUUCCGGCCUUGAGAGAUUUGCAAAGGAUAAUAGCCAAAUGUUUUUAUUGUAAUGUACAUAUGCGUACAUAUGUAGAUAAAUUACAAUAUAUAUUGUGUUGGCUUUAGAAACGAGGUUUUUAUUUAUCUUUAUCACUCUGUUUAUGUAAUAAAUGUUCUUUGUGUACUAUUAUUUUCUCUUCCUCUAUUACAUCCCAUGUGUAAAAUAGAUUGUACAUAUAGUAUUGGGAGAAGAUACAAUAUUGUUGAAAGUAUAAUAAAAUAUCAUUAAUCUUAGAGAAGCACUGUUCCUAUAUUUGUGUAUUAUAAUAUUAAUUCUUCCCCUCCAACAAACCCAUGUUAAUAUAUCUUGGUAUACCACAGUAUAUGCUUUGAAUUUCAACUGAUACAUAGAUUAUAUAAUUAGUUUCACAUUUUCAAAUUGUACUAUGAAAUUUUGAGGCAGUGAGGGUAAAUUACACCAAGGAGGUAUUAAAUAAACGAUUACACACAGAUGCUGUUGGGAGAGCCAAGGCAUGUAGUCUUCAAAGGGGCCCAGCCAUUCUACUACAGGCUUAUACAGUAGGUCCCUAUAUUUUCCCCCAAGUCUCCAAGAAUUUUUGUCAAGCUGCUAGUUUCGGAAUGGUCUGGUUUGAAAUUAUAAUUAUUAUUAAUGAUAUUUUAUUGUAUCAAUGUUGCCCUUUAGUUGUAUGUAAGAAGAGCCACAAAAUGUUUGAUAUCAAGAUUCACACUUUAGUGUCCAUCUAAAGAAAUACAAAGCAGAAUAAUUUCAUUGCAUGUAUACAAAUCCGUAUACAAAUGUUACGAGAGUAAUUAUAAAAUAGAAACAUCUACCUGAAUAUUUUAACUUUUUUUCCCUCUAUGAUAUAUAUACAUUUAUAAAUUAUAAUUAACUAGUACUUUUAAGUUUAAAUGGAGAGUAAUUUUUGAUAAUUUGUCCUAAAUUAGAAGACAAGAGUGUUAUCUGUUCUGAUAAAGAGAUAACGGAUGAACCAAUUAUCAGAAACCAUUUAUCAGAACACCUUCGAAAGCUGAACUACUGAAUUGCCGGAUAUCUGAUCAGCAGUAGCGUUCACAAUUGAUCGCUCAUUAUCCAAAUCUGAAAGUAUAUAGAUUUAAGCAUGCCUAAUUCAACUUUACUUUCACGGCUCAUAAAAAGUGGGCUCUCUUGAGACAUAGUGACUACUUUAUUGCGUGUUGGCUGUCAAUAGAAUAAGCAUUUGGCUUACUUUGUCAGGCUAGGGAUUCGGACAAUACGCUAAGUCUUUAGAUCUAUAUGAUUUCAUUGCCCACUAUCGAUUGUGUAAUAAAGUGUUUUUGUGCCAUAUGUAAUAAUACACUAAGCAUUUUGUAUUGACAAUUGUCACGCUUGGAUGAUUUACACGACGAAUGUGCUAUCUCUUCAAUCAUUGAUAUAGAUUUUGAGAUACUUCAGCCGCAAUAUAUACCGGUUCAUUGUGGUUUUAUCACUUUAUCACCAACAGUUUACAAUUAUUAAAUCCUCUUAAAUGCUUUAAUUCUGUACUUUUAAUGGUUUAAAUUGUUUGUGAUCAAGUCCAUUUUUGUCAGUGUUAAUGGUUAAUAGGACUUCUAUUUUUUCUAUGUAUAUUAUACUGAAAGUUCAAGAAUUUAUUCUUUAAUUUAAAUGCUUUAAUUCAGUGGUUUAAAUUGUUUGUGAUCGAGAUUGAUUUUGUCAGCGUUAUUGGUUAAUAGUAAAGGACUUGUAUCUUUUUAAUGUUUUUUACUGAAAUUGCACUAAUUUAUUCUUUAAUUUAAAUGCUUUACUUCUGUACUUUUAAUGGUUUAAAUUGUUGGUGAUCAAGUUCAUUUUUUUGUCAGUGUUAAUGGUUAAUAGUACUGCAAUUGCCUUUAAUUGGUGUGAGAUCUGCAUUUUCAUUAAUAAUAGUUAAUUAUUAUAUGAUUUGGGAAAAACAAAUAUACAAAAUGGUUUGCCCAGGUAGGGAAUGAGUAAAAACUUGUAGAACUGUUUAUGCAAUAUUUCUUUUUUAUAGUUUAAUACUGUAAUAAUAUUUUUAUACUUAAUUUUCUGUAAACUUAUUAACACAUUUCUGCAAGACGUUAAAGAAGAACUUUUCUUAUACAACCCUUCAUUAAACUAGGUGUUAUUACUUGUACUUUUAUAUGGACACGUUAUCUCUGAAAUCCGUCUAUUCAAAGCAACUCCAGGCUAUGAUCUAGCAUAUUGAUUUUCUGUUCGAAACAAUGCUUUUAGAAAUUAUAAUAAUUAAGGAGUUAGUGGAGGAUUGUUAUUGCAUUAGAGUGGCAUUUGUAAGAUGUUUCUUAUUACUAUAGCUCCAAAUGAUUAACUAGUGAAUCUAAUUAACACAGGAUAAUUAACAUAAUUAAUAGAAUGAUGCUUUGUUGUUAAUGUGAUUUUGAAGUUAGUAAAGCAAAUCAUCGUUGCUCUUUUUUUUUUUUAAUUAGCUAUGUAAAAAAUUUGUUUCUUUUCAUAAUUUAUAAUUGACUUGAUUUAACCUUAAUUUUAUUUUUAGGCAAAAUAACAACAAUCAAAUAUACAUGUCUCCAUUUAAUUGAAGGACCUCUUUUGGGACCGGGGUUUUCAUGGUAUUUAAAAGCUUUAAUCUCUAAGUAGAAUGAUAAAGAUUUACAGUGAAUCAAGAGAUUAAGAAAUUAAAGAUAAAGCAAUUUGUUAAUAUGGGACCACAGAAAAGUGGUCAUUAAUUAGAGGGAGACCUGUGAUGUUUGGAUGUUAUUUUAUUUGUAAUGCGCAGCACGUGGCUCAAUACAUUUGUAAUUCUGUACUGCCCUAUGACACUGCAUAGUACAGUAUUGUCAGUCCACAUCCACCUUACCCAUUUGAUGUUGAUGAUAAAUAAAUUACUGUGAAAUAAAUACAGAAAUAUACAUUGGUUGAAUAUUCACUAUGAUUUCCUGAUUAAUAAAUGACAAAUAAAUGUAAUAUGCCCAUAUUUGGGCAUAAUAUGACAUUAUCAUGUACAUAUAAGGGCACAUCACACAAAUUUGUCACAUACAGUAAAGUAUGAUAAUAUGGACAACUUUAGGAACACUUCCUUGGCAAUGCAGCUAUAUAACUAUUCAAUAAAUUUUUUUACUUAAUAUAAGUAUUAUUAAAUCGUGUAUAACUCUUUAUUUUUAUAUU